RNAcentral lists this long non-coding RNA (458 nucleotides) under Brassica napus (rape). RNAcentral's name for it is "long non-coding RNA (BNAP_LNC011953)". Lineage: Eukaryota; Viridiplantae; Streptophyta; Magnoliopsida; Brassicales; Brassicaceae. The record is from RNAcentral.
UGAUUGGCAAUUAAAGUGGUUUUUCAAAAACAAAAGCCAAAAACCAUUUUAGAAACUACAAACAAUCAACCUCUUAAUUUGAUCUUUUAUAAUAUGUGCAAUAUAGUCAUGUUGAAUAUUCAGAAUUAAUACUAUUACAAUGUGUGAAGACAACAAUGUUGAAAACGGCUAUGUAUAAUAAUAAAUACAUAAGAAAGUUAAUAAAGAGACAUGAUUUUUCAAAAUAUUUUAAGAUGAUUAAAAAAAAUUAUAAGAAUGUUUGCUCUGAGACCGCCGCUUCGUGUUUUUCGCUUGCAUCUCAGGUGUUUGGUUUUUACCGGCGUCGUGAGAAAAACUCCUUUCGUUUAUUUUUUUGUUUGUCUGAUGCUUUAUUUGUGGUUAGAUAGUGGGUUAGAUUGUUUUUUUGGUCGUUAGGUGUUAGCGGAAGUGAUGUUGUGAUGGACGCACGUAGGAUCGAA